UACGUAGGGUGCGAGCGUUGUCCGGAAUUAUUGGGCGUAAAGAGCUUGUAGGCGGUCUGUCGCGUCUGCUGUGAAAAUCCGGGGCUCAACCCCGGACUUGCAGUGGGUACGGGCAGACUAGAGUGUGGUAGGGGAGACUGGAAUUCCUGGUGUAGCGGUGAAAUGCGCAGAUAUCAGGAGGAACACCGGUGGCGAAGGCGGGACUCUGGGCCGAUACUGACGCUGAUGAGCGAAAGCGUGGGGAGCAAACAGG
This 253-nucleotide ribosomal RNA is filed under the name uncultured bacterium. RNAcentral describes it as "partial 16S ribosomal RNA". It matches the Rfam family "Bacterial small subunit ribosomal RNA", at positions 524 to 776 of the family's 1533-position model. The record is from RNAcentral.